Molecule: ribosomal RNA, 562 nt
Filed under: uncultured fungus
Lineage: Eukaryota; Fungi
Description: bacterial SSU rRNA
Rfam family: Eukaryotic small subunit ribosomal RNA
Source: RNAcentral
GUGCCAGCAGCCGCGGUAAUCCCAGAUCCAAUAGCGUAUAUUAAAGUUGUUGCAGGUAAAAAGCACGGAGGUUGAAACUUGGGCCUGGCUGGCAGGUCCGCCUCACCGCGUGUACUUGUCCGGCCGGGCCUUUCCUUCUGGAGAACCUCAUGCCCUUCACUGGGUGUGUUGGGGAACCAGGACUUUUACUUUGAAAAAAUUAGAGUGUUCAAAGCAGGCCUUUGCUCGAAUACGUUAGCAUGGAAUAAUAGAAUAGGACGUGCGGUCCUAUUUUGUUGGUUUCUAGGACCGCCGUAAUGAUUAAUAGGGGACAGUCGGGGGCAUCAGUAUUCAAUUGUCAGAGGUGAAAAUUCUUGGAUUUAUUGAAGACUUAACUACUGCGAAAGUUUUUGCAAGGAUGGUUUCAUUAAUCAGUGAACGAAAAGUUAGGGGAUCGAAGAAAACCAGAAUACCGUCCGAGUCUUAACCGUAUACUAUUCCCGACUAGAGAUCGGGCGAUGUUCUUUUUUCUGACUCCCGUCGGGCCCCUUACAAGAAAAUCAAAAGUUUUUGGUUUUCUGGG